RNA transcript from Selaginella moellendorffii, 3560 nucleotides. RefSeq lists it as uncharacterized. NCBI's taxonomy places the organism in Eukaryota, Viridiplantae, Streptophyta, Lycopodiopsida, Selaginellales, Selaginellaceae. The record is from RefSeq and is a predicted model, not a curated record. The transcript is spliced from 6 exons.
GGAAUGGAUGGCGGAAGUGGUCUCUCUUGGAUGCUCCACAGGACCAAGAUCUUCCUGUGAAGCCAUUUGCGCAACCAGGCGUCGUCAGAGUGUAAGAUUCUCAACGUCCCACCACAGCUUUGCACGGAAGGCGAUGGUCAGAGUAUUGAUUCCAGACAUGGAAGUAGCUGGCUCGUCCGGAUUGUGAAUCGUGGGAAGGAGUCUAGUCUCGUGAAAGGUCGCGUUUCAGCUAGCCUCGUUCUAUGCAGUCAGAAGAGCUUGACGGUGGUUUACUGGCCGGAUAUUUUCAGGGACACAGAAAUCUUGCCUGUGGUGGCUAUGCCGGAUGACAAGCUUCUUCAGAUAGAUGACAGAUAUGGUGGAGCUCCCGGACGGAGGUCUGCUUCGUCGUCGUAUGGUCCUCGAGCAGAUACAGCCGGUGAAGUCACUCAUCGCCACAGGACUUAGAAACCUGGAAUGCGUAGCCAUCGCCAGCUGCUUGGGGAACUUAUGGAGGUUCGACUGCUCCGUGUCUGGGAUUUCCUGGCGGUCUGUAAAUGCUGAGGUUCGUGGGGAGAGCGACAACUUUGGGCCUUUCGAUUUCAACAACAGUGGCAUAGUCCGUUCCCUCGUGUGGUGGUCACGGGAGGAGCUUUUACUGCUGACUCCCAGGGGGAUCGAGUGCUGGGACGUGCAGUUAGUGAAAGGUGGUCAGCUCUCAAAGGCCUGGGCUUACGAUAUCUCCGAAGACGCGGAGGUUUUAAAGGAUCUAACGAGUCAGAAACAAGUGUGGCUUCUCGAUUUGCAAGUUACUGCGGAGAAGAACCUGACGGUGCUAGCGGCAUCUUUAUCCAAGGAUCGAGUCACGAGCUCCAGUUACAUGCAGUACUUCAUGCUCACUUUAGCUCCAGCACGAGUUAUCUUACCGAAGGCUCGAGUAGAGGUGGAGGAGUUCUGUAUUCGAUGCAGCUCCGAGUUGGUGGAAAGCCUGCCGGUUCAGCCAUGGUUCUUGCAGGUGAUGGCACCGCAACGAUCUCUCAUUACUUACACGGCGUUGGUCGGCUAUACCAGUUCGAUCUUGCAUGGGAUGCCGGCAGAGUUUUAGACGCUUCUGUGGUACCUUCGGUGGAUGACAGCGACGAAGGCGCUUAGCUUGUUUUGACCGAGAAAGCAGGAGUGUGGGGGAUUCCUGAAAGAGCUGUGCUGCUUGGUGCUGUUGAGCCACCGGAAAGGAGCCUCUCGCGGAAAGGCAGUGCUAAAGACGAGUCCGUCAAGGAGCAGAGGCGACGAUUAGCAGUCGAAAGCACGGAUGGUGUGGGAAAAGUCCUGACAAGGAAUUCCACUCAACGUCUUCUCCAAGAUGAAGAAGCAGAGGCAACAGUCGGUCAGCAAUUUCAACAUUAUCUGACUACUCGGCAAGUGAUCGCGGUCUUUGAGAAGCUACAGAAGACCGGAGCAUUCGAUGACGAAGGCGAAAUGAAUAUUUUCGCUCGCUUCAGCAAGUCAAUUGUCGAUACAAUAGCCAAGCAUUGGGCUUCGGGUGGAGCUGGAGGUGCAGCCACGAUGGCCAUUACUUCGCAACUUACUGAGAAAUAAAAGCGCCAUCAACAGUAUCUGAAUUUUCUCGCAGCUUCUAAAUGUCAUGAGGUCCUUCGGCACCAACGAAGGAGUAGUCUGCACACGAUCCUGGAGCAUGGUGAGAAACUUGCUGCGUUGCUAAAGAUCAAGGACACGUACAACUCUCGAGCUCCUGGCCAGAGCCGUGGUGAAGCAGAAGAAGCUGAGAUUACUGGAGCUCUCUGGGAUACAAUUCAGCUAGUCGGAGAGAAAGCUCGCAGGAAGAAUGUGAAGGAAAAGAUGGAGGUGUUUCUUACGCGGGGAUCAGACAUAGAAGAGCUUUUCGGUUGCAUCAAUGAACACAGUCAAGCUAUAAUCGGGCAGGAGAUGUCACUGAAGUCACAAACCGAACGCUUAUGCGAGGUUGCCGACGCCUGCUCCUCUGCUGUUAGAGCUGGCAUUCAGUACAGAGAUACACAACAGACAUGGUAUCCGUCGCCAGAGGGCUUGACGCCCUGGUAAACAGUGCGUUCCCGAUUAUGGCGACUGGCGACUCAUCUUAUGGACGUCCAGUCAAAGGAAAAGGUGAUGGUAUCUCUUGCUGAUAUAGCCGAUGUUCUUCUCGAAGGCUAUGCCGGUGCUAUUUUGGCCAAGAUAGAGCGCGACGAGGAGUACCGAGGCUUGCAACUCGAGUACUGGAGCAGACGUCAUAGCCUUCUACUGACUCUUUAACAGCAUGAAAGAGAAGCAGCCGAACUGGCUUCUCAGCACGCUGAAAGCGCCGACGCGGGGGAGCAGAAACGGCUGGAAGUGCUGCGAGAUCGGUAUUCGUCGCUUUUGGCCGUCAUGCAGGCUAUCAGACACUUUGGGAAAUAUGCAUCGAUCUCAAUGACAUGGAUUGCCUGCCCAAACUUAUGAGUUUGCAGAAGACCUUGCGUCCUUUCUUCGGGACAAGAAAUCUCUUUCCUGGCUCCAUGAUUUCUUCCUCAAGAGAUUCACUGCUGCGUCAGAUACCAUCCAUCACUUGGCUCUCUCGAGCAGCGACUUGAAUAUCCCGAUCAUUCAGGACGAAAAACCGACGUCCGGUUUUACUCUAUCUGCCCGACGAAAGCUUUUAUAUCUGGCAGAACUGUCGGCACUUGCAGGCUGGAAGCGUGGAGCUGUUGACAAGUCGAUUCAGAUCGAAGCAGAUCUUGGAAUUUUCGCUGUUCAGGAAGCUGCUGCUGAGUUGGGGAUUGCAACUUCUACCGAAGUUCUGUCACCGCUGCAGCUCGUCGAAGCGUGCCUGAACAGUGGCCACAAGGAACUGGUUCUACGUUCUCUGGAGGUUUUCGCGCUGUCGGGAAUUUUUUCAGAAGAGGGAACAAGAGCCUUUUGGAGGCCGCAUGGCUGAAGCUUGCUGAUCAAGACGACUGGCUGAAAAUGAGGCAGCUCUCGGACGAGGAAUGCUGGAAUGACCAACAGCAGUACGAAGCUCUCAAGGCAACUGCCCUCUACGCAACGUCAAAGUACUGUUACGGGGGCUCGGCGUUUGUAAUUGGCACACCGUUCGAGGAGACUCUACCACUUUUUCGAGAGAUCGACGCCAGCAGUCGAAGGGCCGAGCCAGACAGUGCAAGCUCGGUGAAUGAGGUGCUGGCGGAGCACGAGGACUUUCCGGAAGCAGGGGAAGCCAUGGUGAUGGCGCUGAGGAUGGGGAAAGGACUGGAGCUUGUAGCUGAGGAGGACAACAGCAUGGAAAUGUGAUAACGUCCUCGGGGAACUUGCCACCGGUCAUCUUUGAGACAACUUUGAAGCGAACUUUCCUCGAUAAACAACAAGCGUCGACGAAUUUUCCUGCUCACCAGCUCUCACCUAGGAUCACCGCAGGCCCAGGCCAGAAAAUCCAUGCGUCGUCGGCCCAAACCUCUCUGUCUCUCAUCUUUGUAUUGACACCAUGAGAUUCCAUGGCUGGAUAAUACCCUCCUGCUUAUGAAUAGACAAUCUUGUGAUGAGCAGUGCAGAGAUUAUCAUUAUCAUGGCCA